GAUGAACGCUGGCGGCGUGCUUAACACAUGCAAGUCGAACGGUGAAGGCGGAGCUUGCUCUGCUGGAUCAGUGGCGAACGGGUGAGUAACACGUGAGCAAUCUGCCCCUGACUCUGGGAUAAGCGCUGGAAACGGCGUCUAAUACUGGAUACGAGCUGCGAAGGCAUCUUCAGCAGCUGGAAAGAACUUCGGUCAGGGAUGAGCUCGCGGCCUAUCAGCUUGUUGGUGAGGUAACGGCUCACCAAGGCGUCGACGGGUAGCCGGCCUGAGAGGGUGACCGGCCACACUGGGACUGCGAGACGGCCCAGACUCCUACGGGAGGCAGCAGUGGGGAAUAUUGCACAAUGGGCGAAAGCCUGAUGCAGCAACGCCGCGUGAGGGACGACGGCCUUCGGGUUGUAAACCUCUUUUAGCAGGGAAGAAGCGAAAGUGACGGUACCUGCAGAAAAAGCGCCGGCUAACUACGUG
This 468-nucleotide ribosomal RNA is filed under the name uncultured bacterium. RNAcentral's name for it is "partial 16S ribosomal RNA". It matches the Rfam family "Bacterial small subunit ribosomal RNA", at positions 28 to 507 of the family's 1533-position model. The record is from RNAcentral.